This 1027-nucleotide long non-coding RNA is filed under the name Pandoravirus dulcis. RNAcentral's name for it is "putative ncRNA". The record is from RNAcentral.
CGACGAGCGCGGUGAUGUUCAUCGGCGAUGUCCAAAAAGGUAUGCACCGUAUGACGUGGACGAUGAUCGAAUCGGUGGGUCGAGGCUCGGGAUCGUGGCCAAAGGCAGAGUAGGCUCCGGCACCGUAGAACCCCGCGCCGAGACAACGAUCGAGGUCGCGCCAGACGUCUGACGAGAGCGGCACGACGGCCUUGACCCGCGUCAGGUAGAGGAACGGCGCCAGCAUUCCGACCAGAACUUGCAUGGCGGCGCCGGCACGGGCGUCCAAUGAAGCGCGCCAGCGCAACUCCCAGAUGGCGAGCCAGGAUCGGAACUUGGCUCGCUCGGUGACCCGGCGGUGCACCUUUAGGACAUAGGCUUCGUGCGGCGGCGGCUCGAUGGCACGUAUUACAUCGAGUCGUUGUUGUCCAACGGCGCCCUCUUUGGGGGCGUUGGCAUACUUGAGAUAUUCGAGCGUGGCGGCGCUGUGGCGGCACGCGUCGAGAAGCCACGAGGCAGCACGCCAUGGUCGAGGUACCGUCCACGCCAUCUGUGUGUCGUCGGCGGCGGGAGCGCACUGGUGCGGUCCGAAUUGCGGAUCAAACCGACCGGCAGCACCCACGCGCGGUCCCCAUGCGGCGCGGAGCACGUCGUCGCCGACGAGAAAGGCAGCCGCAGACUUGCUGGAGAGUGCCAGGGCCAUGUAAUCGUGUGCUGGCAGGAAGCCGAGCAUGUGCACGAGACAGUCGUCUCCCAGCGCCGACAGUGACCCGAUCAUGGCAAAGAUAAUGGCAGCGGGGCCGAUGACGACGGCGACAAUGGUCCGACGUGCGCGCGCGCGCGUGAAAAAAGAUAGAGAGACUCACGACAAAGGGCGCGGAACAAGAGCCUCAGCGCAACAACGAUCGAAAACACGUGCGGCCCACAACGAAAAAAAAAGAGAAAAGAAGACCAAUGGUCCGCGGCGGCCGACACGAGCCCCUUCCCAUUCGAGAUGCAAACAUUGAUGCGAUUGGCCCGUGUCGUCUAUAAAAAAAGACACUGCCGG